AGUCGACGCUGAAGCUUGGUGCUUGCACUGGGUGGAUGAGUGGCGAACGGGUGAGUAAUACGUGAGUAACCUGCCCUUGACUCUGGGAUAAGCCUGGGAAACUGGGUCUAAUACUGGAUACGACAUGUCACCGCAUGGUGGUGUGUGGAAAGGGUUUUACUGGUUUUGGAUGGGCUCACGGCCUAUCAGCUUGUUGGUGGGGUAAUGGCUCACCAAGGCGACGACGGGUAGCCGGCCUGAGAGGGUGACCGGCCACACUGGGACUGAGACACGGCCCAGACUCCUACGGGAGGCAGCAGUGGGGAAUAUUGCACAAUGGGCGGAAGCCUGAUGCAGCGACGCCGCGUGAGGGAUGACGGCCUUCGGGUUGUAAACCUCUUUCAGCACGGAAGAAGCGAAAGUGACGGUACGUGCAGAAGAAGCGCCGGCUAACUACGUGCCAGCAGCCGCGGUAAUACGUAGGGCGCAAGCGUUGUCCGGAAUUAUUGGGCGUAAAGAGCUCGUAGGCGGUUUGUCGCGUCUGCUGUGAAAGCCCGGGGCUUAACCCCGGGUGUGCAGUGGGUACGGGCAGACUUGAGUGCAGUAGGGGAGACUGGAAUUCCUGGUGUAGCGGUGAAAUGCGCAGAUAUCAGGAGGAACACCGAUGGCGAAGGCAGGUCUCUGGGCUGUUACUGACGCUGAGGAGCGAAAGCAUGGGGAGCGAACAGGAUUAGAUACCCUGGUAGUCCAUGCCGUAAACGUUGGGCACUAGGUGUGGGGAACAUUCCACGUUUUCCGCGCCGUAGCUAACGCAUUAAGUGCCCCGCCUGGGGAGUACGG
This 819-nucleotide ribosomal RNA is filed under the name Kocuria arsenatis. Its description in RNAcentral is "bacterial SSU rRNA". It matches the Rfam family "Bacterial small subunit ribosomal RNA", at positions 60 to 885 of the family's 1533-position model. Lineage: Bacteria; Bacillati; Actinomycetota; Actinomycetes; Micrococcales; Micrococcaceae. The record is from RNAcentral.